GCCUUCCUGGCUUAGUUGGUUAAAGCGUCGGUCUCAUACUCAGUAUGAUCUGCUUGUGAACGAGCAGAAGUCACAUGACCAAAUCACGUGAUCCGAAGGUCGCCAGUUCGACUCUGGCGGAGGGCA
This is a non-coding RNA of Cadophora sp. M221, 126 nucleotides long. NCBI's taxonomy places the organism in Eukaryota, Fungi, Ascomycota, Leotiomycetes, Helotiales, Ploettnerulaceae. The record is from the annotation of a GenBank genome assembly.